Molecule: ribosomal RNA, 370 nt
Filed under: uncultured bacterium
Lineage: Bacteria
Description: bacterial SSU rRNA
Rfam family: Bacterial small subunit ribosomal RNA
Source: RNAcentral
CAGCAGCCGCGGUAAUACGGAGGAUCCGAGCGUUAUCCGGAUUUAUUGGGUUUAAAGGGAGCGUAGNUGGACUGNUAAGUCAGUUGUGAAAGUUUGCGGCUCAACCGUAAAAUUGCAGUUGAUACUGUCNNUCUUGAGUNCAGUNGAGGUGGGCGGAAUUCGUGGUGUAGCGGUGAAAUGCUUAGAUAUCACGAAGAACUCCGAUUGCGAAGGCAGCCUGCUAAGCUGCAACUGACAUUGAGGCUCGAAAGUGUGGGUAUCAAACAGGAUUAGAUACCCUGGUAGUCCACACGGUAAACGAUGAAUACUCGCUGUUUGCGAUAUACAGCAAGCGGCCAAGCGAAAGCGUUAAGCAUNCCACCUGGGGAGU